This 443-nucleotide ribosomal RNA is filed under the name uncultured bacterium. RNAcentral's name for it is "SSU rRNA". It matches the Rfam family "Bacterial small subunit ribosomal RNA", at positions 26 to 518 of the family's 1533-position model. The record is from RNAcentral.
AGAACGAACGCUGGCGGCAGGCCUCAAACAUGCAAGUCUAGGGGGUGUAGCAAUACAUCACCGGCGGACGGGUGCUUAACACGUGGGAAUAUACCUUUUGGUUCGGAACAACGCAGGGAAACUUGCGCUAAUACCGAAUGUGCCCUUACGGGGAAAGAUUUAUCGCCAAAGGAUUAGCCCGCGUAGGAUUAGCUAGUUGGUGAGGUAAUGGCUCACCAAGGCUCCGAUCCUUAGCUGUUCUGAGAGGAAGAUCAGCCACACUGGGACUGAGACACGGCCCAGACUCCUACGGGAGGCAGCAGUUGGGAAUCUUGGACAAUGGGGGAAACCCUGAUCCAGCCAUGCCGCGUGAGUGAUGAAGGCCUUCGGGUUGUAAACUCUUUCGACGGGGACAUAAUGACGGUACCGUAGAGAAGCUCCGGCUAACUCGUGCCAGCAGCCGC